RNAcentral lists this ribosomal RNA (465 nucleotides) under Vreelandella stevensii. RNAcentral's name for it is "partial 16S ribosomal RNA". It matches the Rfam family "Bacterial small subunit ribosomal RNA", at positions 338 to 795 of the family's 1533-position model. The record is from RNAcentral. Lineage: Bacteria; Pseudomonadati; Pseudomonadota; Gammaproteobacteria; Oceanospirillales; Halomonadaceae.
CCUACGGGAGGCAGCAGUGGGGAAUAUUGGACAAUGGGCGAAAGCCUGAUCCAGCCAUGCCGCGUGUGUGAAGAAGGCCUUCGGGUUGUAAAGCACUUUCAGUGGGGAAGAAAGCCUUGGGGCUAAUACCCUCGAGGAAGGACAUCACCCACAGAAGAAGCACCGGCUAACUCCGUGCCAGCAGCCGCGGUAAUACGGAGGGUGCGAGCGUUAAUCGGAAUUACUGGGCGUAAAGUGCGCGUAGGCGGUCUGAUAAGCCGGUUGUGAAAGCCCCGGGCUCAACCUGGGAACGGCAUCCGGAACUGUCAGGCUAGAGUGCAGGAGAGGAAGGUAGAAUUCCCGGUGUAGCGGUGAAAUGCGUAGAGAUCGGGAGGAAUACCAGUGGCGAAGGCGGCCUUCUGGACUGACACUGACGCUGAGGUGCGAAAGCGUGGGUAGCAAACAGGAUUAGAUACCCGAGUAGUC